AUGUACAUAGGAGACACCGAGAGAGUGAAUAAUUCUCAAAAGAUAACCUUGAGUCUACAAGAUCCAAGACACAAAGGAACCUUUCCUACACGAUCCUACAUCUUUGAAUCUCAGCAGGAACUUGAAUCCCUUUACCUCCUCCCAGCUCUGCCUUGCUGCCCACCCAGCAUUCUGGAAUCCACACCUUCGUCCUGCUCAGCACAGGAAAACUUCGUUCCUCUCCCUUCGGUGUCCUCCCCUGCUCAUGCAGCCAAAGAGGUGACAUGGUGGUUGGCGGGGGUGGUUGCUGGGAUCUUGUCUCACCCUCACCUCCGUCGCUCCCCAACCAGGUUUUACUAUCAUGCAGGUUCAGGUGGCCUGGACUUGGGUAAACCCAGUCACCCUGGAGAAGUGUCUUUAUAGGAAAAUGCAUUAUUAAUUGGAAGUGAACUCUACCUUCUGGAAGUUUCUGUUGGGCUGGCGAGGGCAUGGAUCCAUUCAUGGUGAAGGCAGGGGCCAAUAAAGGGACAAAUACUGCCCACUUUCCCUGCUUCUCUGUUUUCCUUUACAUUUUUAUUUUAUAUUCAGCGAGCUGUGAGUUUCUAAAAUGCUAACUAGGAACAUUCUUAAUUUUGAGAACAUAUUUGAAAGGCAAAAACUGACAUUUUUACUUGCAAUAUUUGUUCACAUAAAUAUAUU
RNAcentral lists this long non-coding RNA (678 nucleotides) under Fukomys damarensis (Damara mole-rat). Its description in RNAcentral is "lncRNA (ENSFDAG00000029155.1)". Lineage: Eukaryota; Metazoa; Chordata; Mammalia; Rodentia; Bathyergidae. The record is from RNAcentral.